GACGAACGCUGGCGGCGUGCUUAACACAUGCAAGUCGAACGGAAAGGCCCUGCUUUUGUUGGGUGCUCGAGUGGCGAACGGGUGAGUAACACGUGAGUAACCUGCCCUUGACUUUGGGAUAACUUCAGGAAACUGGGGCUAAUACCGGAGAUGAGCUCCUGCUGCAUGGUGGGGGUUGGAAAGUGUCGGCGGUUGGGGAUGGACUCGCGGCUUAUGAGCUUGUUGGUGGGGUAGUGGCUUACCAAGGCUUAGACGGGUAGCCGGCCUGAGAGGGUGACCGGCCACAGUGGGACUGAGAUACGGCCCAGACGCCAACGGGAGGCAGCAGUGGGGAACAUGGCACAAUGAGCGGAAGCCUGAUGCAGCAACGCCGCGUGCGGGAUGACGGCCUUCGGGUUGUAAACCGCUGUCGCCUGUGACGAAGCGUGAGUGACGGUAAUGGGUAAAGAAGCACCGGCUAACUACGUG
RNAcentral lists this ribosomal RNA (468 nucleotides) under uncultured bacterium. RNAcentral's name for it is "partial 16S ribosomal RNA". It matches the Rfam family "Bacterial small subunit ribosomal RNA", at positions 28 to 507 of the family's 1533-position model. The record is from RNAcentral.